Molecule: non-coding RNA, 30 nt
Filed under: Homo sapiens (human)
Lineage: Eukaryota; Metazoa; Chordata; Mammalia; Primates; Hominidae
Source: RNAcentral
UGUGAGCACACAGCGAAAAGGCAGCCGAGU